RNAcentral lists this ribosomal RNA (460 nucleotides) under uncultured bacterium. RNAcentral describes it as "partial 16S ribosomal RNA". It matches the Rfam family "Bacterial small subunit ribosomal RNA", at positions 338 to 795 of the family's 1533-position model. The record is from RNAcentral.
CCUACGGGAGGCAGCAGUGAGGAAUAUUGGUCAAUGGACGAGAGUCUGAACCAGCCAAGUAGCGUGAAGGAUGACUGCCCUAUGGGUUGUAAACUUCUUUUAUAUGGGAAUAAAAUGUUCCACGUGUGGGAUUUUGUAUGUACCAUAUGAAUAAGGAUCGGCUAACUCCGUGCCAGCAGCCGCGGUAAUACGGAGGAUCCGAGCGUUAUCCGGAUUUAUUGGGUUUAAAGGGAGCGUAGGUGGAUUGUUAAGUCAGUUGUGAAAGUUUGCGGCUCAACCGUAAAAUUGCAGUUGAUACUGGCAGUCUUGAGUACAGUAGAGGUGGGCGGAAUUCGUGGUGUAGCGGUGAAAUGCUUAGAUAUCACGAAGAACUCCGAUUGCGAAGGCAGUUCACUGAACUGCAACUGACACUGAGGCUCGAAAGUGUGGGUAUCAAACAGGAUUAGAUACCCUUGUAGUC